UACGUAGGCAGCAAGCGUUGUUCGGAAUUACUGGGCGUAAAGAGUGUGUAGGCGGUGUUCUAAGUCUGGUGUGAAAUCUCCCGGCUCAACUGGGAGGGUGCGCUAGAAACUGGAAUGCUAGAGGAUGGGAGAGGUAAGCGGAAUUCCUGGUGUAGCGGUGAAAUGCGUAGAUAGUCAGGAGGAACACCUGUGGUGUAGACAGCUUACUGGACCAUUUCUGACGCUGAGACACGAAAGCGUGGGUAGCAAACAGG
RNAcentral lists this ribosomal RNA (254 nucleotides) under uncultured bacterium. RNAcentral describes it as "partial 16S ribosomal RNA". It matches the Rfam family "Bacterial small subunit ribosomal RNA", at positions 524 to 776 of the family's 1533-position model. The record is from RNAcentral.